GGAUUGCGUCCUAUCAGCUAGUUGGUGUGGGUAAAAGCCCACCAAGGCUAAGACGGGUUUGUGGCUUGAGAGCGUAUCAGCCCAUGGACUUGGAACGGCCGAUUCCCUACGGGAGGCAGCAAUUAUGAUCUUGGCCAUUGGGGCCAGCCUGACGCAGCGACGGCGCUGGAGGAAGACGGUCUUCGAUUGUAAACUCCUUUUAUGUGGGAAGAAUAACUGACUGUACACACGAAUAAGUACUGCUAACUACGUGCCAGAAGCAUCGGUGAUGCGUAGGGUACAAACAUUAUCCGGAUUUACUGGGCGUAAAGAGAUGCGUAGGUGUCCUUGAAAGUCUUAUGUCAAAGCCCGUGGCUCAACCUCGGAAAGGCAUCGGAAACUACAAGGAUCUGAAGUAGAGAGGGGUGAACGGAAUUCUCGGUGGAGUGGUAAAAUACGUUGAUAUCGAGAGGAACACCAGAGGCGAAGGCGGUUCACUGGCUCUAUUUUGACACUGAGGCUCGAAAGCGUGGGUAGCAAAACGGAUUAGAUACCCGUGUAGUCCACGCCGUAAACGAUGGAUGCUAGCCGUUUGACACAACACUAUUUUCUCUUAGGAGUUUAUAUUGAAGUGUUGAGUGGCGCAGCUAACGCGUUAAGCAUCCCGCCUGGGUAGUACGGCCGCUAGGCUAAAACUCAAAUGAAUUGGCGGGGACCCGCACAAGCGGAGGAGCGCGUGGUUUAAUUCGAUGGUAAUCGCAGAACCUUACCAGGGUUUGACAUGUUGGUCGUAGUCUUUCGAAAGAUAGACGUCAGUUCGGCUGGACCAAACACAGGUACUGCAUGGCCGUCGUCAGCUCGUGUCGUGAGAUGUAGGGUUAAGUCCCGAAACGAGCGCAACCCCUUUCCCGUGUUAUAUAUGUCUCGGGAUACUGCAGCGGUAAAACGUUGAGGAAGGAGGGGAUGACGUCUGGUCCGCAUGGUCCUUAUAUCCUGGGCGACACACGCGCUACAAUGGUCGGUACAACAGGCAGCCAAACCGUAAGGUGGAGCUAAUCCUCUAAAACCGAUCUCAGUCCGGAUUGAGGUCUGCAACUCGACCUCAUGAAGUUGGAUUCGCUAGUAAUCGCAGAUCAGCCAUGCUGCGGUGAAUACGUUCUCGGGUCUUGCACUCACCGCCCGUC
Molecule: ribosomal RNA, 1163 nt
Filed under: uncultured microorganism
Description: bacterial SSU rRNA
Rfam family: Bacterial small subunit ribosomal RNA
Source: RNAcentral